This 432-nucleotide ribosomal RNA is filed under the name uncultured Syntrophaceae bacterium. Its description in RNAcentral is "bacterial SSU rRNA". It matches the Rfam family "Bacterial small subunit ribosomal RNA", at positions 950 to 1382 of the family's 1533-position model. Lineage: Bacteria; Pseudomonadati; Thermodesulfobacteriota; Syntrophia; Syntrophales; Syntrophaceae. The record is from RNAcentral.
UUCGAUGCAACGCGAAGAACCUUACCUGGGCUGACAUCCCGGGAAUCCCCUGGAAACAGGGAGUGCCCUUCGGGAACCCGGUGACAGGUGCUGCAUGGCUGUCGUCAGCUCGUGUCGUGAGAUGUUGGGUUAAGUCCCGCAACGAGCGCAACCCUUGUCUUUAAUUGCCAUCAUUUAGUUGGGGCACUUUAAAGAGACUGCCGGUGUUAAGCCGGAGGAAGGUGGGGAUGACGUCAAGUCCUCAUGGCCUUUAUGCCCAGGGCUACACACGUGCUACAAUGGGCGGUACAAAGAGAAGCAACCUCGCGAGGGUGAGCAAAUCUCAAAAAGCCGUUCUCAGUUCGGAUUGAAGUCUGCAACUCGACUUCAUGAAGUCGGAAUCGCUAGUAAUCGCGGAUCAGCAUGCCGCGGUCGAAUACGUUCCCGGGCCUU